This 1337-nucleotide long non-coding RNA is filed under the name Canis lupus familiaris (dog). RNAcentral describes it as "lncRNA (ENSCAFG00030001533.1)". Lineage: Eukaryota; Metazoa; Chordata; Mammalia; Carnivora; Canidae. The record is from RNAcentral.
UCCAGUAGCUAAUUCAGAGGCUCCCGAAAGACCCAGGUAGCCAGGUAAUCAGUGUGUAGAGCUUAUUUGCAGUCCACUGCAAGCGUACUUCAGACUGUAACACUUUAUAAAGGUCUUUCGUUCAACCAGGUGGCACUGUGCAAAGCUCAGGGUACCUAAUACCAUAGGGUUUAGUUGGCUUUUUGGUGGCUGUGUUGUAAGGUCCCAGGCCUGAGAGCAGCAGAAGGACCAACCCGGGAAAGUGAGCCUAAGUGGAGCUCUGUCUUGGUCUCAGAUUUAAACAGAGGUAAAGCCCUGGAAGCUUCUGACCACACUCCUUUAUCUAUGACCAAUUAAGCAAACGAGGGCUAAGCCCCUUCCAGCAUGCAAGCACUUACAAAAAAGGUGCUGGAGCCCCAGCCAAACUGUUCACAUACCCAAUAACAAGAAGGGGAUACGCUGAGUAUUGUUAGGAAUUGAAAUCUCCAUGAACCAGGAAUUCUCAAAAGUGUGGCAUGAGCAAUUCAACAAUCCUGUUUAGCUUGUAUAACAAGACAUCGAGAGGAAGGUAAUCCAGCUAGGCUGGCAGCUUUACAAUACCAAGGACUCUGGUUCCUCCAGCUCUUUGCUCCUGGUCUUCCUCAGAUGAGGCUUCAUCCUCAUUCUUACAGAAUGACUGCUAAAGUUGGAGCCAUCAGCUCCACAUUGGUGGUGGUGGUUAUGGGGUGAUGGGGAAGGACCAAGUAUAAAAAUCAGAGACUGCCAGUUGCAUCUGCCCCUUAACAAGUGACUUCCAUAGACAUCUCGUUGACCAGAACUAUGUCCCAUGACCACCCCAACCUUGAAGGUAAGCUGGGAAACAUGGUCUUUUGACUGAACUUAUUGACACCCUGAGUAUAUUGAGAGGCCAUCAUGAAAAAGGCAAGAAAGAAUAAAUGUUGGAAGACAUUCAGCCAUCCCUGCCACACCCAGAAAAGAUGCUGCCACUUGGACAUGGGGUGCACCUAACACCUAAGAGGAGGAGCCUACACCCAUUCCUUCAGUGGGAGAUGCCUACUUUUCAUCCAAGGCAAGGCUUGAAUUUUGACCUCACCCUUUUUCUUUUCUUUUCUUUUCUUUUCUUUUCUUUUUUUUUUUUAAGAUUUUAUUUAUUUAUUCAUGAGAGACACAGAGGGAGAGAGAGGCAGAGACACAGGCAGAGGGAGAAGCAGUCUCCGUGCAGGGAGCCCGAUUCAUGCCUCCAUCCAAGGACUCCAGGAUCAUGCCCUGGGCCAAAGGCAGGCGCUAAACCACUGAGCCACCCAGGGAUUCCCAUCCUCACCCUUUUUCUAUAUACCCAACUAUAUGAAUUUCUUUGA